This 253-nucleotide RNase P RNA is filed under the name Muribaculaceae bacterium. RNAcentral describes it as "partial RNase P RNA component class A". It matches the Rfam family "Bacterial RNase P class A", at positions 1 to 251 of the family's 367-position model. From Rfam's summary of the family: Ribonuclease P (RNase P) is a ubiquitous endoribonuclease, found in archaea, bacteria and eukarya as well as chloroplasts and mitochondria. Its best characterised activity is the generation of mature 5'-ends of tRNAs by cleaving the 5'-leader elements of precursor-tRNAs. Cellular RNase Ps are ribonucleoproteins. Lineage: Bacteria; Pseudomonadati; Bacteroidota; Bacteroidia; Bacteroidales; Muribaculaceae. The record is from RNAcentral.
GCAGAGGCGCGGUCUGUCGCUUGCCGUCAUUAUGUGCGGCAAGAGGAAAGUCCGGGCAACUCAGAGCAGCGUGUUUCCUAACCGGAAGCCGAGGGCGACCUCGGGGAUAAGUGACAGAAAACAACCGCCGUGAUCCGACUGUUGGACACGGUAAGGGUGAAAAGGCGGGGUAAGAGCCCACCGGCCCGGCUGGUGACAACCGGGGCCGCACAUCCCACGUGUUGCAAGGCCAAAUAUACCGGCAGUUAAGGAU